CCAAGGAGUCUAGACUGUGCGCGAGUCAAAGGGCUGGCUAAACCCCAAGGCGAAACGAAAGUGAAAAAGAUGUCAAUCUUUGAUCUUCAUCGGGCCGAUCCGGUUCGUCGCGGAUGGCGGGGGACUUUUCGCUCCCGUUCUUCCCUUCGAUUCGUCACGGUAACACGUGGACGGCGCAGGCCCGGGGCCCGCUUUUGCUUCCUCCGCCGUCGUUAAGGCUCGGGAGUCGUCGUUCCGGUCGAGAGGUUGGCGCUGCGGCGGGAGGGAUUCGCGUCCUUUCCGUUCGCUCGCUAGCCCCCACGAUAGGGACCUUCUCCCCGCUGGCGGCGGACGAGCGGCGGGUUCUCCGAGCGCACAAUCUGGUACCCGAAAGAUGGUGAUCUAUGCCUGGCGAGGAUGAAGCCAGAGGAAACUCUGGUGGAAGUCC
RNAcentral lists this ribosomal RNA (427 nucleotides) under Halophiloscia ischiana. RNAcentral describes it as "partial 28S ribosomal RNA". It matches the Rfam family "Eukaryotic large subunit ribosomal RNA", at positions 666 to 876 of the family's 3401-position model. The record is from RNAcentral. Lineage: Eukaryota; Metazoa; Arthropoda; Malacostraca; Isopoda; Halophilosciidae.